This 444-nucleotide ribosomal RNA is filed under the name uncultured bacterium. RNAcentral describes it as "bacterial SSU rRNA". It matches the Rfam family "Bacterial small subunit ribosomal RNA", at positions 771 to 1213 of the family's 1533-position model. The record is from RNAcentral.
ACCUAAUAGAUACCCUGGUAGUCCACGCCCUAAACGAUGCGAACUGGAUGUUGGGUACAUUACGGUACUCAGUGUCGAAAGCUAAACGCGUUAAGUUCGCCGCCUGGGGAGUACGGUCGCAAGACUGAAACUCAAAGGAAUUGACGGGGGCCCGCACAAGCGGUGGAGUAUGUGGUUUAAUUCGAUGCAACGCGAAGAACCUUACCUGGCCUUGACAUCUGUCGAAUCCUGCAGAGAUGCGGGAGUGCCGCAAGGAACGACAAGACAGGUGCUGCAUGGCUGUCGUCAGCUCGUGUCGUGAGAUGUUGGGUUAAGUCCCGCAACGAGCGCAACCCUUGUCCCUAGUUGCCAGCACAUCAUGGUGGGAACUCUAGGGAGACUGCCGGUGACAAACCGGAGGAAGGUGGGGAUGGCGUCAAGUCCUCAUGGCCCUUACGGCCAGGG